This 541-nucleotide transfer RNA is filed under the name uncultured cyanobacterium. RNAcentral's name for it is "partial 16S-23S ribosomal RNA intergenic spacer". The stretch from base 212 to 284 matches the Rfam family "tRNA". Lineage: Bacteria; Bacillati; Cyanobacteriota. The record is from RNAcentral.
CAGGGAGACAACAAAAUGUUUAAUAUUAUUAUUUUGUCACCUUAGGUCGAUCGGUAUCUCACGUUUUUAAUUUAUUAAGAAUUUCAUUUCCUAAGUUUUUCUAGGUCACACCCAUUAUUUUUCCUGGGCCAUUAGCUCAGGUGGUUAGAGCGCACCCCUGAUAAGGGUGAGGUCCCUGGUUCAAGUCCAGGAUGGCCCAUAUCUCUAUGUUGGGGGUAUAGCUCAGUUGGUAGAGCGCCUGCUUUGCAAGCAGGAUGUCAGCGGUUCGAGUCCGCUUACCUCCACUGAUCACCACCUCUUCCAUAACCGGUAGAAAGGAAAUUUUUUGAGUUGUGAUCAAAUUCUGAAAGAAUCUAGCUUCCUAAUGAAAUCAUUAAGAUGCUGGACUCAUUGAAUUAAUUUCAUUGUUUUCAGAGAACCUUGACAACUGCAUAGAUUAUUUUUAAAGACAAUAAGCAUCUUUAAUGAUGCGGAUUUAUUAUUUGUGCAAAUGCAUUAAUAACAAUUCUAUUAAGCUGAUGCUUCAAUAUUUGAAGUUAUU